Etheostoma spectabile (orangethroat darter) is the source of this 5567-nucleotide RNA transcript. It is a transcript of the gene named MAPK activated protein kinase 5, with no coding region annotated. The record is from RefSeq and is a predicted model, not a curated record. Lineage: Eukaryota; Metazoa; Chordata; Actinopteri; Perciformes; Percidae. The transcript has 15 exons.
GCCAACUCGGGUUGUGUAUUCCCUCUGACAAGCAGCUAUGGGAUUAGCAAAAUAGUCCAGAUAUGUGUAGCUAUCUCCUUGGUCACCUCUGAAAACAUUCUUAAUUAACCCUGCCCUUUCCACCACUGAUAUGGUGUUAUUGUUUCGUACGAGCGCUGCUUUUUUAUUACACUGUCUUACGGAAGAAUGUCAAUAUAUGUGGCUUUAAGUAGAGCUGGAAAACGAACUUGCCCCUGAGCUAACUGGCUAGCCCGUUAGCAGGCUCGGCUCGGCUCGACUCGACGACAUAAUAGGCUACUGUGCUUCUUGGAACACGGUGUGCUCGUCGUGUCAGUUCAACCCAGCGCUAAUCGAGGAUAGUAUCGGUGAUUUUCAGAUAGUAUCGAUGGUCUACUUUAUCUUUAACGAUUGCCUUUGUUGUGUGAUCAUCUGCUCUGACCGCGGGAUGGAGUGGCACUAGCUUAGUUUGCGAGCAGGCGAGCAAUUUAGCCAGUCCCCGGUGUCUUCGCAGCGUUAGCAGAGCACUGCUCUCAUUGUGCCGGCUAAAAAUACACUUUUUGUCCCAUGCUCAGUGCGCCUCCAAAAGUGGUGGGCUAGUCUACAUUGGACUUCUCUUCGGCUUUUCUGGUCACCUUGCUCUAAAUUUGGCCAUCUACAUGGUCACUACAGUGAAUGUAAGACGACUGGAAGAACGAGUCGGACCCCGAGGUUGUGAGCCCUGCUGGCCUGAUCUAACGUUAACGUUACAUCGUACCGGCUGGUGGGCUUCAGGUCUCAAGUGAACGAAAAUUCGGCUUUGGCUGAUCGGUGGCCGAAUAUCAUUUUGCACCAAUGGCCUUAUACUGUAAUUAUUGGUAACAUAGCGAGCCUUGGUCCAGCCCAGGGUUGAAGGACCGAAACUUCGUGAAGGUCAGAGAAAAACGCUUUGGGUCUACUGUCGGAGAUUAGGGAGGCAGACUUCAUCUGUCCAGAGCACAGCACCAUGUCGGAGGAUAACAACGCAGACAAGUUUAUCAAGGAGACAUCCAUUCUAGACGAGUAUAACAUAAACUGGACACAGAAGUUGGGAGCCGGCAUCAGUGGACCUGUCAGAGUUUGUAUGAAGAAGUCAUCUCAGGAGCGCCUGGCCCUAAAGAUCCUCAUUGAUCGCCCCAAGGCCAGGAAUGAGGUGCGUCUCCAUAUGAUGUGUGCCAACCAUCCAAACAUAGUGCAAAUCCUGGAGGUUUACGCCAAUAGUGUUCAGUUCCCGCAUGAGUCCAGCCCAAGAGCGAGACUCCUGAUUGUUAUGGAGAUGAUGGAGGGUGGCGAGCUGUUCCACAGAAUCAGUCAGCACAGGCACUUUACUGAAAAGAUGGCCAGCCAGGUCACUAAACAAAUCAGUCAAGCCUUGGAACAUUGUCACUCCCUAAAUAUUGCACAUCGUGACCUGAAGCCAGAGAACCUGCUCUUUAAGGAUAACUCUCUGGAUGCACCUGUGAAGUUGUGUGACUUUGGCUUUGCCAAAAUUGAUCAAGGAGACUUAAUGACCCCUCAGUUCACUCCCUACUAUGUAGCACCUCAGGUACUUGAGGCUCAAAGACGACACCAGAAAGAAAAGUCUGGAAUUAUACCUACCUCACCCACUCCUUAUACCUAUAACAAAAGCUGUGACUUGUGGUCUCUCGGUGUGAUCAUCUACGUGAUGCUGUGUGGCUAUCCUCCGUUCUACUCCAAGCGCCACAGUCGCACCAUCCCGAAGGACAUGAGGAAGAAAAUUAUGACCGGCAGCUUUGACUUUCCUGAAGAUGAGUGGAGCCAGAUUUCAGAGAUGGCCAAGGACAUUGUACGCAAGCUGCUGAAGGUGAAGCCAGAGGAGAGGCUGACUAUUGAGGGAGUCUUGUCUCACCCUUGGCUCAACUGUACUGAGGCACUUGACAACGUGCUGCCCUCAGCCCAGAUGAUGAUGGACAAGGCGGUAGUUGCAGGUAUCCAGCAGGCCCAUGCAGAGCAGCUGGCCAACAUGAGAAUUCAGGAUCAUAACGUCGGCCUGAAGCCUCUAAACUCUGUCAACAACCCAAUCCUCAGGAAGCGAAAAAUGCUAGGCCCCAAGCCCAGUGACGGUUUCUUCAUUCAUGACCCGGAGAAUGGAGGGGAAGACUCCAACGUAGCUCUGGAAAAAUUACGAGACGUCAUUGCACAGUGUAUACUACCACAAGCUGGAGAGAACGAGGAUGACAAGCUGAAUGAGGUGAUGUAUGAAGCCUGGAGGUUCAACAGAGACUGUAAACUGCUGAGAGAUGGCCUGCAGGCGCUUAGCUGGGACGUAUUACGAAUUGGGUGUCUUUGACGACAUUCCGGGGAAAAAUCUCAUGCGGCGCACAGUUAGUGACCAAUUUCCAUCACCCAGCAGUGGUUGCUCCACCAAAGAGGGAAGAUCCUUCUCCGAUAAAGUCGACCGCUUGAAGUUGGCUGAAAUAGUGAAACAGGCCAUCGAAGAGAAGACAAAUCUCCAGGAAUCUAAUUAGCAAACGCUGUCUUUCUAUCUUCUUUUUAUAUUGUUUAUUAUGACCCUUUUUUAACCCAUAUAUGUAAAGAGGCUUUUUUCAUGAAUUCACUAGCAAGACCUAUUGUACAGCUGUAGAUAUAUUUCAAAGAGGACUCAUUGGUACUAUAAUUCUUUUUUUUUUAAAUGGACACAAACAUUGCAAAAAAACCUAUAUUUUCAUUUUUGCAAAAAAGAGAAAAGAGAAAAAUCAGUUAAAGAAAUAAUUUUCUGGGAGGGGAUUUUGUCCAAGGCAUCACAUUUUUUAUCCCAGUUAUUCCUUUUAUUCUGUUUUCUUUUAACCAUCAUAAGACUUUUAUUUAUUUAAACAAAAAGUUCCAUUAUUUUAUAUUUUACUUGUAGCCUGGCAGUGGACUCUAGUCGAGAGAAGCUGUUUAUGAUGUGACUUUGUUUUUUUACACACACACACACUCUUGAUUCUCAGACUGCAUUAUAUGAAUCUUUGUUUUUGUUUUUUUUAACCUUCCCUUGACCUUAUGGUUGUGUAGAGUUCAAGGCAGAGUGGAAAUUGAUGUAAAAAGCUCCAAACUUCAUUGUCAAACUGUUUCUCAACUAGAUCAUGAAGGUUUCAUAAACUGAGUUCAACUCAUACACAUGAAGUGCUUAUACUGCUUGACAGCUCCUGAGGUUUGUGUCUGGCAAGUAAAAUUAAGUUCAUUUUUUUUAUAUAAAGGCAUUUUUAUACGUCUUCCCGUUUCUGAUUCUGACAGGUCUUAAGUUCAGUCUUUGGUUAGAGUUGUUGAUCUGUGAAACAGGCGCAACAUGAGCUGCUUUGAUGUAAAGUUGUAUCUACUGGAAUUCAGACCAUAGUCAAUUUAUAUUUAAGUCCUUUUAAAGCAAAAGUGGUUGCUACUUAAACCAACGGAGACACAAAAACACUGGGCAUUUUUGGUGCAAUGUAGUCAAUGUCUUUAUGCCAAAAGUUUAGAAGAAGGGUUUCAACCUCCAUUAGCAGCAUCACACUUGCAGUGCUAUUGAAUCUGUAAUAGGGAAAUCAUUUACGACUAUUUACUUAUGUAUUCAUAGUGCAUGCAUGUACAUGGUAUUGAAAAAGAUGUAUCAAUUGUCAUUACAAUGGUCUGAAUACCAGCAAAUGCUCCUUCCCUUCGCUCAACUCAUCCUUUAGUUGUUAAUAUGUCGCUGAUUAGCCGAGACUUCUGUGUUGAGCCAACAAAACUUAGAUGGCUGAAAGUGCAAGUUCUCUUGUUGAGUGCCUGAUUAUAUCUGUAAUAAUGUUAUUUGUCUGUUUUGAAAAUCCUCAGAAGUUCAUGAAAAUUCCCCUUUCGAUGAGGUCUUGGCUUUAAGCAGAACAUAUUUUCAUGUCUCGAUUACUGCAUUAACCAUGUGUUUUUUUUUCCUUAAUGAAAAAAAAUAUAAUAUUCUGAGUAAUUAGCAAACAUUGGUGCAAUAUAUUGUUGCUGUCCAGUGACAAACUUGUAUCUCCAAUUUUGAGAUAGACUAAAGGAUCCGGUGUUCCUUUGUUGGUUAAGAAAAUUUUCUUACGCUUAAUAAACCAUUUAAGAAGUUAUUGGAUUAUCUGUAAAAUGCAUUGUCACACAGAUAAAAACAUGGCUGUUUUUCUGAGCUAACAAAUGAAUUGACAUUUUUGGACAGUGCAAUGUAAACUGCACAUUUUCACACCAUUUGUAACUGUCAUGAAGGAAAGAGUCUGUAAUAUUUAAGUUUGGCUUAAAAACAAAUGUGAGCAAAAGAAAUUAUUACUGACAAGAUUCUGAGAGAUCAUUUUGACGAUCUGGCUUGAUGGUUUGUCAGACAGUCUACCUUAAAAGCUUAACUUGUGUUUGAAAAGGCCAUUAAUAUUACAUGGCUAUUUUUACGCUCAAAUGUAAAAUGUGGGUGGCAUCUUCCUCCUUUACUGCUCAGUAAAAAUAAUUACAGGAUAGAGGGGAAACUCUGAAUCAUUUAACUUGUGAUUGAUACUUAUCCUUUUGGCUGUGAUUUGCUUGUUUUCAUUCCACAAGUUGGUGUAUUGGUUUGGUUUGUUAAUGUUAAUUUAUUAUAGUUAUAAUUUUGGGGGAAAUGAUGUCCUAUUAAAAGGAAGCGUUUCCGUGCUGGUGUCUUCUAUUUAACGGGAAAUUUUGGGAGUGGUAUCAAUCUUCUCAUCUCCGCCGCGAAGCUAAUCGUGUGUGUGCUUUAAGUCUCCUCCCCCACCGAUAAAUAAGAGAAUAUUUAUCUUCUGCUAACUGAGUGAGCAUUACUGUUGAAGACUAGUGUAUUUAUUAGCAUCUACUGUAAAGUCAAGGCAUGUAACAUUGAUACUUCGUUCUAACAAUGAAACCCCUAAGGGAAAACCAGUCCUACUCAGACACCCGCUGCUGUCAAAUGGUCAGUCUGGCUCUGUGGUACUACAAAUCCCAGAGGGGCAGUUUGUGUUAAGAUGCUACCUCCCUCCCCUGCAUUGCUGCUGCAGGUGGCCCUCAGACUGACAUUCAGGCUAACAUAGCUUUAGACAUAUUUAACAAAUAUUUAAUAGCUUCCACUAGUCAUUUCCACUCUCAUCUGCUCAAUAAGGUGAGACCAGAUUUCCCAUUUUAUACAAGAAAACAUUUAUUGUUCCUUACAUUGAUGCUGACCGAGGAUAAAAAGCAAACCUGUGUCCUUUUUUAAAAUACCAACUCAUUAAAAAUGACCUGAAAAGCAGAGAGGGUUUAGUCAGCACUUACUGCUCUUGAUAAAUACCAGUUGCUUCCAUUUCCUCUGCUGUAUAUGUACUUGUAAGGUAUGGAGAGGUGUGUUUUAUAUAUUUUGAGCCAUUCCUGUUUGUGUUAAAUCAGGAAGAAAUGUCAAGGAAAGGAAAUCAUUUCAAGGUUUGGAACCUUUUAUCUGCUUUUAGUGGUCUUUCAUUUUUCUCUGGCCUGGCAGUUAUGUAGCAUGUAACUGAAUAUCUCAUGAAAGACUUGCUGCAUUUUUGUCUACACAUCUAUUUCUUUGCCCUUUCUGUCUUCUUUGGAACAUCGUCAACAGGCUGACUUUGAAAUAAAAUAAAGGAAUUCUUUGACCUUUG